AUUUUUGGUUUAAAUUAAUUUUUAAAAGUUUUUGAAUGAUUAAUAAUAAUAAUAAUAAUGAUACAAUCAAUGCUUAAAAGUUUUCAAUAGGACUUUCAAAUUCAAAUUUUCUACCAAUAAAAGAACACAAUCAAACGCAAAUAGGCUUUAUAAUAAAGAGAACCACCAUCAUAUCUAGGAUUUGUUCCAAUCGAAUGAGUUAUUAAAGAGAUUCAAUAAAAUAAACUCCACAACAAGCAAAGGUACCUCCAUAAAGGGAGUCAAACUUGCAAUAAAAUUCCAUGAAGAGGUGCUAAACACUCUAGAUUCAUCAACAUUAAUAAAUUAGAGGGACUAAAUUUAAGAUUUGGUCCAAACAAACACAAAUUUGAAAAUUAUUUAAAGAAAAAAUUGAAAAAAAUAUAAAGAAAAAUCAAGAGGAAGGAGAAACUCGAAAAAAAGAAAGUAAGAAAGGUGAAAAGAGAGAAAAUGAAAUAGUAAGAAAAGGAGGUGAAAGCUUUAAUUUAAUAAUUCAAUAAUAUUUCACUUGUUAUUUGUGAAUUAAGGUGCA
RNAcentral lists this unclassified non-coding RNA (550 nucleotides) under Hevea brasiliensis (rubber tree). Lineage: Eukaryota; Viridiplantae; Streptophyta; Magnoliopsida; Malpighiales; Euphorbiaceae. The record is from RNAcentral.